CGGGAAAUAGCUCAGCUUGGUAGAGCACUUGGUUUGGGACCAAGGGGUCGCAGGUUCGAAUCCUGUUUUCCCGA
Molecule: non-coding RNA, 74 nt
Organism: Edaphobacillus lindanitolerans
Lineage: Bacteria; Bacillati; Bacillota; Bacilli; Caryophanales; Bacillaceae
Source: Rfam